This 441-nucleotide ribosomal RNA is filed under the name uncultured bacterium. RNAcentral describes it as "partial 16S ribosomal RNA". It matches the Rfam family "Bacterial small subunit ribosomal RNA", at positions 338 to 795 of the family's 1533-position model. The record is from RNAcentral.
CCUACGGGAGGCAGCAGUGGGGGAUAUUGCACAAUGGGGGAAACCCUGAUGCAGCGACGCCGCGUGGGCGAAGAAGUAUUUCGGUAUGUAAAGCCCUAUCAGCAGGGAAGAAGAAAUGACGGUACCUGAGUAAGAAGCACCGGCUAAAUACGUGCCAGCAGCCGCGGUAAUACGUAUGGUGCAAGCGUUAUCCGGAUUUAUUGGGUUUAAAGGGUGCGCAGGCGGAGGUGCAAGUCAGCGGUCAAAUUGCGGGGCUCAACCCCGUACUGCCGUUGAAACUGCAUCCCUUGAGUGCGCGAGAAGUAUGCGGAAUGCGUGGUGUAGCGGUGAAAUGCAUAGAUAUCACGCAGAACUCCGAUUGCGAAGGCAGCAUACCGGCGCGCAACUGACGCUCAUGCACGAAAGCGUGGGUAUCGAACAGGAUUAGAUACCCGAGUAGUC